UAGCAAACUUUAUUUCUGAUGGUACAUCUACUAGCUCAGGACUUUUGCAAUAUAACUUUCUAGAAUAAACUUCAUGGCUAUGUUUGUUGACCAGAUUAUUUUAUAUUCUUUUAUGUUAUUAUAUGGCUUCAACAUUAGUAAAAAUACGGCCAUGAAUCAAAAUAGUCAUUCUACUACUUGGUUUUGCAUUUUAGUAGAUGGUCUUGAUGAAAUUAGUGUUAUAAGAAAAUCCAUAGACAACGAAGAACAUUGGACUAGAAAGAAAAGGUCUUAAAGGUUCUUGUGAGCACUACAAGUUCUCAGGAGUCAAUUCGUUCCGGGACCAGGAGUGCCAUGUUGGUUUUGUGUGGAUGUUUGUAUUAUGACGAUUUUGCAUGUCUUUGAGCACUACAUAGUACACAAGCAUGAAAUACUUGUAGUAUACCAGAAAGAGAACACUUAAAAUUAAAAUAAUUCGGUUCUUCACAUACGAAAUCCAUCGUUUUUUUCCUCAUAUUUGGUUAGAGCACAAGAUACAGUGUGUUAUAUGUAAUGUUGAUAAACUGUUCUUGUGUUGGGUUUGUUGGAGUAUGUGAUAAGAAACCUAAGAAAGGAUAAGAAAAGAUAUUAUCUUGUUUCUUCUAGCUGAUGUAGACUUUUUUUUUAUAUAUAUUCUAGCUGAUGCAGACCUUGUUUCUAACAAGAAACUUCAUGGCUAUGUGCCUUAUUCCUUCAUGUCCUAUUUAGGCUUAACGUUAGUAGGUACAGUAGUAUACCCUGAUCCGUUGGUGGUUUGGGUAUUGCACGUUAAUUUUUGUAAUGUUUCCAGAUGUGAGAUUUACUGAUAUUUAUUACCACUAAUGUUAAACUAUGAACUCCAUGAAAAUAAUUGUUCUCUGAUGGAAUAAAUGACAUAAAUUUGUAAGGUUUCUUAAUAUUGGUGAGAUUCCUUUCUUCUUGGUAAAAGUACGAGCUCAUCAAUGGUUAUGCUGCAUUAGUUGGUGACUUGGUGUUGACAUUGAACAUUCAUAGUCCUCUAGAAUAAUUUUAGGACAUUAGAGCAACCAUAGCAAUGCCAUAAAUUUGGGUAUUUAGAACAUAUUUACAGCCUACUCUAAAUUGUGUUACACAGCUUUACAGGCCUUGCACGUCUGCAGAGCAUGUGCAAAGUCAGACGCUCUACAAUCGGGUCUCUAUUUUUUCUGCAUUUCUCAUUUCGCUGAAUGACUUGUGGGUGCUGGGGUCGGUAAGGAUGGACGGCUCAAGAGGUGUGUUCGGCGGUGACAGAGCGGAGGCGUCACACCACAUGGUGGCGCUGAUUUCUUCUUGCUCAAGAUGGAGGUGAGUGCCUUCACGCGCGGUAGCAGUGGGCAGAGAAGCGACAGAUUUGCCAGACGCAGCCUCGCCCUUCCCAUUGUCUUCUGCACUAAAGCCGACGUGAAGGCUGUGGCUGCGGUUGGCCAGCGUCGUGAUGGCAGCAGCCGCCAGGGGUACCUUCUAGUGUUGAGAAUGUGACCCUAGGACCUCUAGGCCAUUGUAGAAGCAAAGUUUGCUCCACCAAAACUUGUUAACAAACAAUUUGAUGCCAAAUUAUGCUUGCCCGAUAAUGAAAUGUGCAUUACCUGAAUAAAACUAGAGAUGUGAGGUACAAAAUUAUCAACCUAUGUAUAUUACAGCAGUGCUAAAUGCUCCCUAUUUCGUUGAUCUGACAUAAGAUUAUGUACUUGUCCAGUGUGAUUUCCAGAUUAAAGGAAGGGCUGCAGAAGCAGGAGUCAAUUCUAUGGUAACCUGGACAGUAAUGUGCUUAUAUCUUUUUCAUGGAUAGAAUGCGAAAAAUUGACUCUUUGAUCACCAUAUAGUAUACAGUUUUGCUGAAAGGCAAGCGACCAAGUACAUGACUGUUGCUCGGAUGGCUGCACCCAAUUGGUUCAUCUCCGUUAGCGCAGCCCCUUUUAGAGGUGAGGUACUCAUCUUUAGAUCGGAGAACUGGCAAAAUACCAAAUACAUCAGAGCAGUUCAUUAAUCAUUGAAAAGUAACAAUAAAAAUGUUGUGUUUUCAAGAAAUAAUAAAGUGAUCUGUGUUUUGAGUCUAAGAAGCAAAGUUAAAUGUGUAUAAUUUCCAUUUACUGCAAUUUGAAUGUUUACCCUUAUGUUCAUUCGAAAAUUAUGGCACGGUUUAAUCUUUCAUGGUUCUGCUAGCUUACUUACAUAAAUGUAUUUUUCUUAUAUGAACAUAUGAUGCAUGGUUAGCUUAGUUGGCAAUUCAUAACUACAGCUAUGUUUGGCAAACAAGGUUAUAUUGAAGCUUGGACAUACCAGAGAAUCAGAGAACCAAGCCGAUGGGAUGUAUGUACCAGGAAAUCAAAGAAUCAGCCUACAAGCAUCUAUUUUGUCCACGGCGAUCACCGCACCGGGAAUGUAAAAUAUAAACCAUCUAUCUACCACUGCCACAAGUAUCUAUGUUUGCUUCAUGGAAAAACACUUAGUUAAUUUAAAUCACUGUUAUCCUACUGUAAUAUCGACAAUCGCUCUAUAAUUUUAAGUACCCUUUUGGUUU
This is a long non-coding RNA of Lolium rigidum, 2536 nucleotides long. RefSeq lists it as uncharacterized. The transcript is spliced from 2 exons. NCBI's taxonomy places the organism in Eukaryota, Viridiplantae, Streptophyta, Magnoliopsida, Poales, Poaceae. The record is from RefSeq and is a predicted model, not a curated record.